Pelobates cultripes (western spadefoot toad) is the source of this 525-nucleotide non-coding RNA. The record is from the annotation of a GenBank genome assembly. Lineage: Eukaryota; Metazoa; Chordata; Amphibia; Anura; Pelobatidae.
CCAUGAGAUGCUCUGCAUUCACAGAUAAUGAUGAGCCCUGAGAUUUAGAUAAUGCUCUGCACACUAAUAACCAAUCAGUUCAGCAUAAUGCUCUGUACUCACAGACUCUGUGCUCUGGUGAUGCUCUGCAGCCAAGUCCAAGAUGAUGUUCUGCACUCAAAUAAAAUUCAUCUUUCACCAUUGAGUCUGAGGCAAUGCAGUCUAUCCAGUGUGCAGUAUAUCCAGUGUGGGUGAUGCUCUGCAGUCUAUACCUAGAACCAUAUGUUGGUAUUGUACUGCACUGAGUUCUAGAUAGUCUGGGUGAUUACCUGCAGUCAUUUACAGCAUUAAAAAGUCAUUAGUGAUGCUCUACACUCCAGGCAAUGAUUUAUACCCAAUACCCUGAGAUGCUCUGCAAUACUAUAUCAAUCUAAUAUCCUGUGAUGCUAUUCAGUUUAUGAUUGGGAUCCUGGUUCUCUCUCUAUCCUUACUCUCUCAGUUUGACCCUGGCUGUCUCAGUCUCACUCUGUCUGACCCAUGUUGUCU